RNAcentral lists this small RNA (85 nucleotides) under unclassified sequences. RNAcentral describes it as "dinG RNA". It matches the Rfam family "dinG RNA". The record is from Rfam by way of RNAcentral.
AAUGAUACCCUCCCUCAAGGGGGACUCGCGAGAAAAGCAGCGGGGGAAGCAACGCCUCGGAUGAAAAAGGCCGAGGGGGGCAUUC